RNAcentral lists this ribosomal RNA (939 nucleotides) under Triticum aestivum (bread wheat). Its description in RNAcentral is "partial small subunit ribosomal RNA". Lineage: Eukaryota; Viridiplantae; Streptophyta; Magnoliopsida; Poales; Poaceae. The record is from RNAcentral.
AUGGAGUGCCUGAGGCGGGUGAACCCGUUCCGCGCGUGCGCGGGGCUGCGGGUUCUGGGGUACCUCAUGCUGGCGCUCGUCGCCGCCAUCGUCGCCGCCUCCUACUACGCCGUCGUCGUCUACGCCUGGGGCCCACUGCUCCUACGCGGGGGCAACGGAGGCACCGUAGCCGCGGCCGCUUUCGUCCUCGCCGCCUUCCACCUCCUUCUUAUAAUGAUGCUAUGGUGCUACUUUAUGGUUGUUUUUACGAAUCCUGGAGCUGUACCUGAAAACUGGAGACAUGCUGCUGAAGGGGAUGGUAUGUAUGCGAACAACAGUAGCACCAUAUCAAAUAAUGUCGCUACAGAUUGUGUGAAUCCUCCAUCCACUUCAGAGGAGCAAGGACAUGCGCCUAGAUAUUGCUCUCGUUGUCAAAAUGGCAAACCUCCACGUUGCCAUCACUGUUCUAUCUGUGACAGAUGCGUACUAAAAAUGGAUCAUCACUGUGUUUGGGUAGUAAAUUGUGUCGGAGCAAGGAAUUACAAGUAUUUUCUCCUUUUCCUGGUGUAUACUUUCCUCGAGACUGUGCUGGAUACAUUGGUGCUACUUCCAAGCUUUAUUAUCUUCUUUCAUGAUGGAAGUAGGCGCCCCAGCUCAGCUGGUGAUAUUGCCAUUCUAUUUCUUGCUUUCGUUCUAAAUUUGGCGUUUGCGCUGAGCCUCCUUUGCUUCAUAUGCAUGCACACGUCUCUUGCUGCCAGUAAUACGACUUCUAUCGAGGUAUACGAGCGAAAGAAAACAUGCUCAUGGGAGUAUGACCUAGGAUGGAGAAAAAACUUGGAGCAGGUAUUUGGCACCAACAAGUUGCUCUGGUUUCUUCCUAUGUACUGUACCGAGGAUCUGCAAAACAUUCCUACAAUUCAAGGCCUUGAAUUCCCUACUCGUUCUGAUGCAGUGCUGUAA